This 1340-nucleotide ribosomal RNA is filed under the name uncultured bacterium. Its description in RNAcentral is "bacterial SSU rRNA". It matches the Rfam family "Bacterial small subunit ribosomal RNA", at positions 28 to 1381 of the family's 1533-position model. The record is from RNAcentral.
GACGAACGCUGGCGGCGUGCUUAACACAUGCAAGUCGAACGAUGAACUCCAGCUUGCUGGGGGGAUUAGUGGCGAACGGGUGAGUAACACGUGAGUAACCUGCCCUUGACUCUGGGAUAAGCGCUGGAAACGGCGUCUAAUACCGGAUACGAGCUUCAGCCGCAUGGCUAGGAGUUGGAAAGAAUUUUGGUCAAGGAUGGACUCGCGGCCUAUCAGCUAGUUGGUGAGGUAAUGGCUCACCAAGGCGACGACGGGUAGCCGGCCUGAGAGGGUGACCGGCCACACUGGGACUGAGACACGGCCCAGACUCCUACGGGAGGCAGCAGUGGGGAAUAUUGCACAAUGGGCGAAAGCCUGAUGCAGCAACGCCGCGUGAGGGACGACGGCCUUCGGGUUGUAAACCUCUUUUAGUAGGGAAGAAGCGAAAGUGACGGUACCUGCAGAAAAAGCACCGGCUAACUACGUGCCAGCAGCCGCGGUAAUACGUAGGGUGCAAGCGUUGUCCGGAAUUAUUGGGCGUAAAGAGCUCGUAGGCGGUUUGUCGCGUCUGCUGUGAAAUCUGGGGGCUCAACCCCCAGCCUGCAGUGGGUACGGGCAGACUAGAGUGCGGUAGGGGAGAUUGGAAUUCCUGGUGUAGCGGUGGAAUGCGCAGAUAUCAGGAGGAACACCGAUGGCGAAGGCAGAUCUCUGGGCCGUAACUGACGCUGAGGAGCGAAAGCAUGGGGAGCGAACAGGAUUAGAUACCCUGGUAGUCCAUGCCGUAAACGUUGGGAACUAGAUGUGGGGACCAUUCCACGGUCUCCGUGUCGCAGCUAACGCAUUAAGUUCCCCGCCUGGGGAGUACGGCCGCAAGGCUAAAACUCAAAGGAAUUGACGGGGGCCCGCACAAGCGGCGGAGCAUGCGGAUUAAUUCGAUGCAACGCGAAGAACCUUACCAAGGCUUGACAUAUACCGGAAACGGCCAGAGAUGGUCGCCCCGCAAGGUCGGUAUACAGGUGGUGCAUGGUUGUCGUCAGCUCGUGUCGUGAGAUGUUGGGUUAAGUCCCGCAACGAGCGCAACCCUCGUUCUAUGUUGCCAGCACGUUAUGGUGGGAACUCAUAGGAGACUGCCGGGGUCAACUCGGAGGAAGGUGGGGAUGACGUCAAAUCAUCAUGCCCCUUAUGUCUUGGGCUUCACGCAUGCUACAAUGGCCGGUACAAAGGGCUGCGAUACCGUAAGGUGGAGCGAAUCCCAAAAAGCCGGUCUCAGUUCGGAUUGAGGUCUGCAACUCGACCUCAUGAAGUCGGAGUCGCUAGUAAUCGCAGAUCAGCAACGCUGCGGUGAAUACGUUCCCGGGCCU